UGGGGGAUAUUGCACAAUGGAGGAAACUCUGAUGCAGCAACGCCGCGUGAGGGAAGAAGGUUUUCGGAUUGUAAACCUCUGUUUUUAGUGAAGAAAAAAAUGACGGUAGCUAAAGAGGAAGCCACGGCUAACUACGUGCCAGCAGCCGCGGUAAUACGUAGGUGGCAAGCGUUGUCCGGAUUUACUGGGUGUAAAGGGUGCGCAGGCGGGACUGCAAGUUGGAUGUGAAAUACCGGAGCUCAACUCCGGGGCUGCAUCCAAAACUGUGGUUCUUGAGUGGAGUAGAGGUAAGCGGAAUUCCGAGUGUAGCGGUGAAAUGCGUAGAUAUUCGGAGGAACACCAGUGGCGAAGGCGGCUUACUGGGCUCUAACUGACGCUGAGGCACGAAAGCAUGGGUAGCAAACA
This is a ribosomal RNA of 405 nucleotides. It matches the Rfam family "Bacterial small subunit ribosomal RNA", at positions 355 to 774 of the family's 1533-position model.